UGUAAUUCUUACACAGUUGCUAAACUGAUUUGGAGGGAAGUAGUCUUGCCUGGCUUGGCUAAACUUUGCUGUGAAUCAUUGGAACAACUUCCAAACAUUGAGGAAAAAGGUCUGCCCAGAAUUUUCAGCUAAUGGAGCAGAUGUGAGGUCGGGGAGUCACUCCCAGGUAUUCACCUUUUCCUGUCUCUGAGGUGGGAUCAAGACAAACGUCCCUCUAAUGGGACAAAGGAGGAAAAUGUGAAGAAAUCUUUAACUGACGGAGGUUGAUCUGUGGGAGUGCCGAAAAUACAAUGCCCAUGCAUCCUCUGAACUUGAGAAUAAGAUCACACACCAGUUUAAGUGCAGUAUCAAAGUGUCCGUAGGAAUGACUGCGAACAAUCCUGUUGGUCAGUCUGUACUGGUAUCUGUCAAAGCCCGUGGAAAGGUGGGUUGCUGGGCAGUUUGCUGGUGCAGCUUUGUCUUUUAGAAAGAAGCUUUCUUAGUAAACCACUGGGAACAGCUGGAAUGGGAACAGUCCAGUUUCUCCAUGGUGCAGAAGUAUUGAGAAUUUAUUGUGAAGCUGUUUUCAGAUACUUCAAAAUAGAGGAACCAGAAUCAACCAGCAGCCUGGGCCCUGCAAGGUAUUGCUGGUGAUGAGACUCGACCAGGACUUGCUUUUUACUUGUUUGAGCAACUAUUUAAAUGUUAUCCUGACUGAAGGAAGUGUGCACACCUGAGAGAUGUUAGAGAGUGUCCAAAAGAGUGCUAUGAAGACAGUGAGAAGUCUGGAAGGGCAGCAGGUGUGAGGAGCGGCUGAGGCUCCUGGGUUUGUUUGGCCCAGAGCAGUGGAGGUCGAGGAGGGGAGGCCUCGUGGGGCUGCAGCUCCUCACGGGGCAGAGGACAGUGCUGAGCUCCCUGGGGACAGCAACAGAGGUUGAGGGAACAGCAUGGAGCUGUGUCAGAGGACGGUCGGGGGAAGGUGCUGCACCAGAGGGCGAUGGACAUGGACCAGGCUACCCAGGGCAGUGAGCACAGCUCCAUGCUGCCAGAGCUCACGGAGCAUUGAGACACUGCUCUCAGAGAUAGGGUUUGGGUUUUGUGUAGUCCUGAGUGGAGCAGGGAGUUGGACGCAAUGAUCUUUGUGUGGUCCUUCCAACUUGGCAUUUGCUAUGACUCUUCAGAGAGCCUUGUAAGGGGCUCAAAAAUGAGAACCAGAUGUAGAGACAGAUUGUUUCUGGCUAAGGGCACAUCAGUGUUGACACUGUUGUCUAUACACAGAGCUGUCAUCUCUCUGAAUUACUCCUAGAUUAGGGAAACAAUAGGAAGAAAAAACACCGUAUUACUCAACUCUGAGAAUUAAAG
This is a long non-coding RNA of Gallus gallus (chicken), 1341 nucleotides long. NCBI's taxonomy places the organism in Eukaryota, Metazoa, Chordata, Aves, Galliformes, Phasianidae. The record is from Ensembl.